AGGGAAUUAGCUCAAGUGGUAGAGCGCUUGCUUAGCAUGUAAGAGGUAGUGGAUCAAUGCCCACAUUCUCCA
RNAcentral lists this transfer RNA (72 nucleotides) under Loxodonta africana (African savanna elephant). It matches the Rfam family "tRNA". From Rfam's summary of the family: Transfer RNA (tRNA) molecules are approximately 80 nucleotides in length. Their secondary structure includes four short double-helical elements and three loops (D, anti-codon, and T loops). The record is from Rfam by way of RNAcentral. Lineage: Eukaryota; Metazoa; Chordata; Mammalia; Proboscidea; Elephantidae.